This 405-nucleotide unclassified non-coding RNA is filed under the name soil metagenome. Its description in RNAcentral is "partial contains 5.8S ribosomal RNA, internal transcribed spacer 2, and large subunit ribosomal RNA". The stretch from base 1 to 121 matches the Rfam family "5.8S ribosomal RNA", at positions 35 to 154 of the family's 154-position model. The record is from RNAcentral.
GAUGAAGAACGUAGCGAAAUGCGAUAAGUAAUGUGAAUUGCAGAAUUCAGUGAAUCAUCGAAUCUUUGAACGCACCUUGCGCCCUUUGGCCAUUCCGAAGGGCAUGCCUGUUUGAGUAUCAUGAACACCUCAACUCUUUAUGGUUUUCCAUGAUGAGCUUGGACUCUGGGGGUUUUGCUGGCUCACAGUCGGCUCCUCUAAAAUGAAUCAGCUUACCAGUGUUUGGUGGGUAUCAUGGGUGUGAUAACUAUCUACGCUUGUGGUUUUUCCACCAGUUAACCUUCAGCAGUGGAGGUUCGCUGGAGCUCAUAGAUGUCUCUCCUCAGUGAGGACAGCCCUUUGAAUGUUUGAUCUCAAAUCAGGUAGGACUACCCGCUGAACUUAAGCAUAUCAAUAAGCGGAGGA